ACGAACGCUGGCGGCGUGCUUAACCCCUGCCAGUCGAACGGGUCUGCCCUGUUUUUUGCGGGGUGGGUCAGUGGCGAACGGGUGAGUAACACGUGAGUAACCUGCCCCUCACUUCUGGAUAACCGCUUGAAAGGGUGGCUAAUACGGGGUGUUCUGGCUGUGCCGCAUGGUGUGGCUGGGAAAGAUUCACUUUUGUGGUGUUUUGGUGGGGGAUGGGCUCGCGGCCUAUCAGCUUGUUGGUGGGGUGAUGGCCUGCCAAGGCUUUGACGGGUAGCCGGCCUGAGAGGGUGGGCGGUCACGCUGGGGCUGAGGUACGGCCCGGACUGCUGCGGGAGGCAGCAGUGGGGGGUAUUGCACAAUGGGCGGAAGCCUGAUGCAGCGGCGUCGCGUGAGGGAUGGAGGCCUUCGGGUUGUGAACCUCUUUCGCCGGUGAAGAAGGUCCUGCUCUUUGUGGUGGGGUUGACGGUAGCCGGGUUAUGAAGCGCCGGCUAACUACGUG
RNAcentral lists this ribosomal RNA (499 nucleotides) under uncultured bacterium. RNAcentral describes it as "partial 16S ribosomal RNA". It matches the Rfam family "Bacterial small subunit ribosomal RNA", at positions 29 to 507 of the family's 1533-position model. The record is from RNAcentral.